CUCAGAGAGAUUGAACAACUUACACAAGCACAGAGCACACCGAGAAGUCAAAGAAACCAUACCAAAAUUGGCCUUCCAUGGAAAUUUCCAAGUUCUCAUCAAAACCUCCUCUGACAACUUGUGUUCACAGCGGAUACUGUGGAAAUGCCGCCCACUCUGCACGGUGUGUGGCCAGCAUUCGAGCUGGGUCCCCCGUCGA
This is a long non-coding RNA of Choloepus didactylus (southern two-toed sloth), 199 nucleotides long. RefSeq lists it as uncharacterized. NCBI's taxonomy places the organism in Eukaryota, Metazoa, Chordata, Mammalia, Pilosa, Megalonychidae. The transcript is spliced from 3 exons. The record is from RefSeq and is a predicted model, not a curated record.